This 507-nucleotide ribosomal RNA is filed under the name uncultured Glomus. RNAcentral describes it as "SSU rRNA". It matches the Rfam family "Eukaryotic small subunit ribosomal RNA", at positions 569 to 1078 of the family's 1831-position model. The record is from RNAcentral. Lineage: Eukaryota; Fungi; Glomeromycota; Glomeromycetes; Glomerales; Glomeraceae.
AGCAGCCGCGGUAAUUCCAGCUCCAAUAGCGUAUAUUAAAGUUGUUGCAGUUAAAAAGCUCGUAGUUGAAUUUCGGAAUCAGUAUGUCGGUCGUGCCUUCGGUAUGUACUGGUGUCACUGAUUCCUCCCUUCUGAAGAACCAUCAUGUCAUUCACUUGGUGUGGUGGGAAAUCAGGACUGUUACUUUGAAAAAAUUAGAGUGUUUAAAGCAGGCUCGCGCUUGAAUACAUUAGCAUGGAAUAAUGAAAUAGGACGUUAAUCCUAUUUUGUUGGUUUCUAGGAUCGACGUAAUGAUUAAUAGGGAUAGUUGGGGGCAUUAGUAUUCAAUUGUCAGAGGUGAAAUUCUUGGAUUUAUUGAAGACUAACUACUGCGAAAGCAUUUGCCAAGGAUGUUUUCAUUAAUCAAGAACGAAAGUUAGGGGAUCGAAGACGAUCAGAUACCGUCGUAGUCUUAACCAUAAACUAUGCCGACUAGGGAUCGGAUGAUGUUAAUUUUUUAAUGACUCA